RNAcentral lists this ribosomal RNA (254 nucleotides) under uncultured bacterium. RNAcentral's name for it is "partial 16S ribosomal RNA". It matches the Rfam family "Bacterial small subunit ribosomal RNA", at positions 524 to 776 of the family's 1533-position model. The record is from RNAcentral.
UACGUAGGGUGCAAGCGUUAUCCGGAAUUAUUGGGCGUAAAGAGCUCGUAGGCGGUUUGUCGCGUCUGCUGUGAAAACUGGAGGCUCAACCUCCAGCCUGCAGUGGGUACGGGGCAGACUAGAGUGCGGUAGGGGAGAUUGGAAUUCCUGGUGUAGCGGUGGAAUGCGCAGAUAUCAGGAGGAACACCAAUGGCGAAGGCAGAUCUCUGGGCCGUAACUGACGCUGAGGAGCGAAAGCAUGGGGAGCGAACAGG